Molecule: ribosomal RNA, 497 nt
Filed under: uncultured bacterium
Lineage: Bacteria
Description: partial 16S ribosomal RNA
Rfam family: Bacterial small subunit ribosomal RNA
Source: RNAcentral
GAUGAACGCUGGCGGCGUGCCUAAUACAUGCAAGUCGAGCGAACGGACGAGAAGCUUUCUUUUCUUAUGUUAGCGGCGGACGGGUGAUUAACACGUGGAUAACCUACCUAUAAGACUGGGAUAACUUCGGGAAACCUGAUCUAAUACCGGAUAAUAUUUUGAACCGCAUGGUUCAAAAGUGAAAGACGGUCUUGCUGUCACUUAUAGAUGGAUCCGCGCUGCAUUAGCUAGUUGGUAAGGUAACGGCUUACCAAGGCAACGAUGCAUAGCCGACCUGAGAGGGUGAUCGGCCACACUGGAACUGAGACACGGUCCAGACUCCUACGGGAGGCAGCAGUAGGGAAUCUUCCGCAAUGGGCGAAAGCCUGACGGAGCAACGCCGCGUGAGUGAUGAAGGUCUUCGGAUCGUAAAACUCUGUUAUUAGGGAAGAACAUAUGUGUAAGUAACUGUGCACAUCUUGACGGUACCUAAUCAGAAAGCCACGGCUAACUACGUG